RNAcentral lists this ribosomal RNA (678 nucleotides) under Pseudomonas sp. EECC-479. RNAcentral's name for it is "bacterial SSU rRNA". It matches the Rfam family "Bacterial small subunit ribosomal RNA", at positions 86 to 760 of the family's 1533-position model. The record is from RNAcentral. Lineage: Bacteria; Pseudomonadati; Pseudomonadota; Gammaproteobacteria; Pseudomonadales; Pseudomonadaceae.
UCUGAUUCAGCGGCGGACGGGUGAGUAAUGCCUAGGAAUCUGCCUGGUAGUGGGGGACAACGUUUCGAAAGGAACGCUAAUACCGCAUACGUCCUACGGGAGAAAGCAGGGGACCUUCGGGCCUUGCGCUAUCAGAUGAGCCUAGGUCGGAUUAGCUAGUUGGUGAGGUAAUGGCUCACCAAGGCGACGAUCCGUAACUGGUCUGAGAGGAUGAUCAGUCACACUGGAACUGAGACACGGUCCAGACUCCUACGGGAGGCAGCAGUGGGGAAUAUUGGACAAUGGGCGAAAGCCUGAUCCAGCCAUGCCGCGUGUGUGAAGAAGGUCUUCGGAUUGUAAAGCACUUUAAGUUGGGAGGAAGGGCAUUAACCUAAUACGUUAGUGUUUUGACGUUACCGACAGAAUAAGCACCGGCUAACUCUGUGCCAGCAGCCGCGGUAAUACAGAGGGUGCAAGCGUUAAUCGGAAUUACUGGGCGUAAAGCGCGCGUAGGUGGUUUGUUAAGUUGGAUGUGAAAGCCCCGGGCUCAACCUGGGAACUGCAUUCAAAACUGACAAGCUAGAGUAUGGUAGAGGGUGGUGGAAUUUCCUGUGUAGCGGUGAAAUGCGUAGAUAUAGGAAGGAACACCAGUGGCGAAGGCGACCACCUGGACUGAUACUGACACUGAGGUGCGAAAGC